ACAUGACACAGUCAUCGUUUUGCUCGUGUUUACUCAGCAUUCGGCCAUUAAACUUUCAAAUGUUUUGCCAACCAGUAAGUCACAUGACUGAUUUCUGACGUCACGGCGAAAAUCCCUAUUUAUAGAAUAUUAUAAUUAUGUAUGUCAGUUGUAUAUCGUAUGUAGUUAUGGUUAUAACCUUAAGCAACUGAUAUCAGAUUAAGGGCAUACACAACAGUUUUUUCCUACAAUGAGAUUUUCUUUAAAAUUACACCACGUAUCAUUGAAGAUAUGAACAUUAGAUAUAUGCAAAGAAAAUUACCUCAUAAUGCGCGAUUUACAGAGCUAUGGGGCCGCCAUAAGGGGGUGUUUUUGAAAAUACAUGAAAAACAGUUUAAUCAUGUUAAUGUUAAAUAAAAACUUAAAUUUCUUGCAAAGUAAAAGUCAGAACUGCCUUGUUUGAGGUUCAUUGUUGAGAGCAUUCAUUAAAUUUAUUUUCUUGUAAAAAAAUCAUUGUGAACUGAAUUUCCAAUUUUUAUGGGGUAAAAUUGCAGUUUUUAUCAUUAUUUAUACCCUUUUAUACAAUACAUAAUCAUGAUAAUGGCAAAUUAAAAUUUUUCCUCAUGAUGACAAUUUGUUCAUAAUUUCAUAUGCUGUAAAUGAUAAUACACGUAUAUUUAUGCUCUUUUCAAAACAUGGGGUCAAUGCGCUUGUUGUUUUUUUUAGAUAUUUGGCAUUAUUUAACACUUUUUUCAUCUUAUUUUUGCCCAUGCCAAUGAAUGGCGCGUUAUUUGGCGGAUGGCAGCAUUGCUAUUUACAUACAAUUAUGAUGUACGUUUCCUGCUUUUAUUAAAUCACUGUGACAUUAAAAAUGAACUAUGAUGUUUACCUAGAUUGUUACGCGCUGGCGUUUGUUUACAUGCCUGUUAUGGAUUUGAUUGUCCAUAUAUUGUGACGCCAUGGCCUUAGUGAUAGCAAAACAGAGUUAUUUCCCCCUGUAACUAUUGUGUAUGCCUUUAAGUGGACUCAUCUGUACUUUUUCAGUUAAAAGUUGAAAGUCAAGGCAUUUUGCAAAAGAAAGUAAAACGCCUGAAGCCUGAGGAAGAUGCCAAAUGGUGGUGUCAGGCUGGUCUUGACAAAGAUGGGUUCAAAGUAAAAUAUAUAUCUGACUAUAAAGAACAAAGGAAAAAGUAUGUGUAUUGAUGCUUCAACUCAAGAUCAUAUAUGCCAGUAUGUCAAUGAUGGGAACAAGAUGGCUAAUGCUGUCAUGAAACUUUUGACUUUUGAGAGGCCUU
Long non-coding RNA from Ostrea edulis (European flat oyster), 1274 nucleotides. RefSeq lists it as uncharacterized. The record is from RefSeq and is a predicted model, not a curated record. Lineage: Eukaryota; Metazoa; Mollusca; Bivalvia; Ostreida; Ostreidae. The transcript is spliced from 4 exons.